This 2440-nucleotide long non-coding RNA is filed under the name Homo sapiens (human). RNAcentral's name for it is "HSALNT0342428". Lineage: Eukaryota; Metazoa; Chordata; Mammalia; Primates; Hominidae. The record is from RNAcentral.
UGACCAUUUUAUAGGAAUCCUGACCAACUAAUGUCAAUUUUGACCCUGGUAUGGGUGAAACUUCUUAGAAAUUGUAAACUCUCUUCUGCUUAUAUAUCUUGCUCUGCUGUGUUAUAGAAUAUAUAUAAAAUAUGGAAAUCCAAGGGGUUUAAGGAGGGAGUUGAAGGCCACGGAAUAUGUGCCAAUGCAUGCCAUCAGGUUGUGGGUCUAAAGAAAGAUAUUUAUUUCUUUCCUUUUCUUCUUCUGGAACAUUCAACCCAUACCCCCUGUCUUUUAUUUCUCUCUCCCUAUUCACUUUAUAAGCUGCCUACGUCCCUACCUCCCUUCCGAAAUUGCUUUCUCUAAGGCUGUGGUUCUCAGUCUUGGCUGCACACUGAAAUCACCUGGAUACCUUUAGAAAUGACUGAUUCCUGAGUCUCCCUACCAGAGAUUCUGAUUGAACUCUUUUGGGGCAUGGCCAAGGCGUCAGGAGCUUUAAAGCUUCCCAGGUGAUUCUCCCGUGCAGCCAGUGUGAGACCACACACUGCCCUAAGGUUUCUAGGUAAAUACAAUGGCCUGGUCUCAGUCUUCAUUGUGCUUGCCUCCUAACAGCAUUGGACAUUAUUGAUUACUCCCUGAUUCUUGAAAUGUUCUUUUAUUUUGAGGGACAUCAUUCUGAGUCUCCUGUCUUUUAUUCUGACUCCUUUGCAAGUUUGCCCAGCUAUGGGCAUUCUUCCAGACCCUGUUUCUGGCCAUCUAUUCUACAAGUACACUCUUGAUUCAGUGAUCACCUCUGUGCCCCAAAUUUCCUGGUUUUACAUCUCAAAAUAGAGUUGUGUCUACGGAGCCUGGCACGUGCUGGAUGCUGGGUGCGCUGUGAUGAGCAGUAUAGACACAGUUCCAGCUUUCUAUACUGUAUGUCAUCUUCACUAAAGGAUAUCUUCACUUAGAAGUCCUUUCACUUGAAUUAAGAAAAACUCACCAUUUUCCCUCAUUAACAAACAUUUCCUCUUAACUACCACAUUUUAUCAAUAGCAAUACUUUUACACUGGUUUUCUGGGUCCAAAAUUUAGAAGUUACUUUAGCCUUUGGUAUCAGAGGUUGUUAAGAAAAAACACAAUUUAGAAGUUAUUUUAGAAAUUUUACUUUUCUGUCUCCUUUACCCUCUAUGUUCAACUCAGUCCUGAGAUCUGCUGAUUUUUUUUGCAUUAUCUCAUAUCAAUUUUAUCUAUUCCAUGUCUCUUCAUGCCACAUAGUGCAACUCUACAUUGCUUCCUACAGAGGUGACCACUGUGGUUUCUUUACUGGAAUUCUUCUGUACCCACCUUCAUUGGCUCUGGAGCUAAUCUUCGUGAAAUACAUCAUGUCACCCCUCUGCACUUGUACUCUCUUGUUCAUGACCUUACCAAGCACAAAUCCCCAUGCCUGCUUCUUAAGGCCCUUCUUAAUUUGUUGCCAACUCCACUCAGCCACUUUCCUCUUUCAUAUUAUCAUUCAUUUUAACCUUUCUCAGGAGGCUGCACCAGCCUGUAUAGAAAGUACAAGUGACUGGGCUUACGAGGGCAAAAUUUUAGUCCUGGUGCUGUGCUGCAGGUUGACCAUGUGAUAACUUACUUCUUUGGGCUCUCCUCUACUUUCUAUGUGAAGAAGGGAGUAAGAGUCUAGACUGUUUUCAAAAUCACCACACUGUACUCUUCUCCACUAGAUGCAGACCAAGACCUGUUGAGGCUGGUCUGCUCUCAGUUUUAGGAGAACCCCACGUCAGCUUCUUUGCUUCUGCUUACAGCCUAGUUUGGGGGCCCUUUCUUUUCCAUCCACCCUUAAAAUCUACUUCAAGCAUCAAGGUCCACUUAAGACUUAGCUCCUUUGUGAAAUGUUCCCUAACUUCUUAGAUUGGCCAACCAUUGGUCAUCUCUUGCUCCUUUGAGUUCUCAUUACAUUUUGUAUCAGCACUACUCCGUGGAACACUUGAUUUACUGGACUUUCUUUGAGGUAUCCCAUCAGGUAGUCUGUAUCUACUGAAGACAGGGUGUGCACCUUCUACUUUUCUGUCUUCUCUUUUCCAAGUUCCAUCCCCACUGACUAAUCUAAUCUUGACUGACUGUGUCUGAGGUAGAAAGAGUAUCUCUGGCAUUCCUCCUAAAGUAUGUCUAUUACGUUCAGACUAAUGAGAAUAUUAAAAAUUGUGAAUUCUGUAGGACCUUGAAAAUAACCAAAUUCCUCAAAUUUCUGCCUCCCCUCUACCCAGAAUCUAAAACUGAACGGGGACCUUGUGAACAUUCUAGUUUUUGUCUGUUGGAAGAAGAGUUAUAUGGGGAUGUGAAAGACCAGGAGACCCAGAAUCCUGACAGACCUAUCAGAGAGGCAGAGUAGUCCUAUGACAGAGGCAGCCACAGAAGCUCAUGCCCACAUGCCUGUCCCUCUAUCUGGAGACGGCAUACUCACCAUAACAAGAGUCUGU